AUGAUUUCAAAGAUACAUUGCUUUUUAGCAGGUGCUAUUGCAGUUGGAAUGUCAGAAAAAGUAAUGCUUCACCACAUCUGUAAAAGAGAAAUAACUUGUUUGAUGUUUUCCAUAAAGGAGAGGAUGCUUUCAGAAUGUGGAAGCAAUAAUAGAGGAGGAAACUGGAUGUUCUGUAACGUGUUGUAACUGUUCUCAUUAGAAGAUAUUCCCAGCUGUAGGAUAGAACAAGAAGGCCAGGUAGACUUUGAAGCUGACACUGGGAAACGUGCAUUCAGGAAUUUGAUUAACCUACAGGUAAUUAAUUAUUUGUAGUUAAAUUUUGUCCUGCUCCACCUUGGCAGU
This 342-nucleotide long non-coding RNA is filed under the name Coturnix japonica (Japanese quail). Its description in RNAcentral is "lncRNA (ENSCJPG00005014880.1)". The record is from RNAcentral. Lineage: Eukaryota; Metazoa; Chordata; Aves; Galliformes; Phasianidae.